GUGCUUGCUUCGACAGCACAUAUACUAAAAUUGGAAGGAUACAGAGAAAAUUAGCAUGGCCCCUGGGCAAGGAUGACACGCAAAUUUGUGAAGCGUUCCAUGUUAAA
RNAcentral lists this small nuclear RNA (107 nucleotides) under Myotis myotis. RNAcentral also lists the same sequence under 1 other name. The record is from RNAcentral. Lineage: Eukaryota; Metazoa; Chordata; Mammalia; Chiroptera; Vespertilionidae.